AUGCCUGCUUUCACACAGCCAACUAGUGGUGGGUGGAGCGGAAGAACAAAGGCAGACUUGUUAGGGCUUAGAUGCCUUUAUUAUUCUUUUAUUUGGCUGCAAUUUCUUGUCUGUCUGCCCAUAUUCAUUAAGACUGUGGCUACAUUGGCUUGUGGCUUUUGGAAAAGUUACUGUACUGUGUGUGUGUUUCAAACCCUUUCUGUCAAAAAUCUACAUGCAUCACUGCUGUGGGUAUGGGCCUUACAUGCCGGGGGCCUGCCCGGCGACGGGCAUGACCUCCUUCCUCAGGACCGAGGCAUCGGGCCUCUGGUUUACUGCUGUAAGAGCCAGAUCACUUAUGAUUAUAACAAAGCAGCCAGUCAUUAGAAAAAGUCCCCGUAUCUCUGCACGAACCCAGACACUUGGAUUCAAACUGCAAUGAACAGUUCUACGGCUAAAUACAAAGGCUCUUCUGCUGCGCUGGGUUCAUUAUCAUCUAACAUUACUGACAACAACUUCUUGUCUCCCACAAAAUGAACUCCACAAUGAGCACGAUCAAUACCAAGCAGAUAGCUGAUAAAUUAAUAACAGCAAGGCGCAAACAAAGGCAGCGAAAAGAAGAAACGAGUCCAGAAGUAGGUUUCAAACCACACGGCAGCAGUUGAGAGCUUGGCAUCAUAGUGACUGACUCGCAGGGUAAUAGAGCAGAAGACAAUGUUUAGUAGGACAAUGACGGCAUUUGUAUGAAUCCUAGGGUACACGGACAUAUUUAGACAGGAAUUGUAUUGAUCCUUUUGACUUUUUCCUGGCGAGCACUACUCAACGUCCUCCUUCAACAUACAGGCACUUGUAAACAUACAGGGGACACUUCACAGAUUCCAGGAGCACGAGCGCCGGACCUUGUGCGCUGCUUGUGAGCGUUACACUAAGCUUACACUUCAUGUUACAAUAGCAAGUCAUACAGUAGCAGAACUUUAGCCCGGCAGCAGGUUAAUAAGAGCUUGUGCCAGCAGGAGGACACUGGAGUUCAACAGUAUGUGGUGCAGAAUUUAUCUGGAGGAGGAUUAGUUAGUAAAACCAAGCCAGUUUCUUUUCUUUGUGGGUCUUCUUCAGAAAUUACCAUUAAACGAGUAAUAGCUUGACAUUUACCUGUUUUAUUAACUACAUAUUACUGCAAUCCAUUGAUUAUAUACACUACUACCAUACAGGUAAGAACUUGUAACGUGUACAGACAAUUAACUGUGUGAGAAUGGGCUCCAUCACAGAGACCUGGGCACUGAGGACCUGUGUAUUUGAAGUAUUUUUACUUAUGGCUCACUAGAAAAUGAGUGUGAAAGUAAGUAUGUGGGGAGCUGCACCUCCACAAUUCAAUCACAGAUGGAGGUGGUCUCCCCAUCAGACCUUUAGCUGUCUCCGCUCCUAUGGGGGCCAACACCCAUUAUUUAUCAUACAUACAUCUCUCCCUCAGCACGACUUUUCACUCUAGUCUCUCGUGCUCCGAGACAAUCUUUACUCUUUGCCUCUACAGGCUUGUGUGCACGCGCUGAAGACAAAUCCACCGAUACUUGCACAGGAAAUCAUGCAGACGCCACACACUCAGACAGGUAGUACAUCAAUACAGACUGCUGUUUAUCAGAACGUCGAUUCAUCAACUAGACCAUGUGGUCCAAGGCUUUUCUACAACGGCAAAGCUCCGGUCUGAAUUUAUCUUGCUGCCUCUGAAGGAUCCCCUCUUGCCAGGCAUGAUAGCCUAUGAUGAUUUCACUGUUGAGACAUUUCUUACCAUGUGUCUCGUUUUAUGGCGGAUGUGGCCGUGAUCAAUAAGAAUCAGUAAGGUGGACCUCCUGAUAAAUAUCUGCAAAAGGAGAGGAUCUUGACCAACGCUGUACAACCCGAUCAAACGUGAGAAAUGACAAUGUGGGUCAGAAGUCUGUUGAUCUUCUGUCAGGUUCCACAUACGCUUUAACACACUAAACAGAUAAAGAUAAGAUUCUCGGCAGCCAGUUAUUUUUCCCUACUUUCUGUUUUCAACUAAAUGUACAACAGCAGGAAUGUGACUGUUUAGCUUCUGUGCUACCUUUACAGUACGUACUACAGCACCUACAAAAGGGGAUCAACACCUACAGCACAGUCAUUGGUAGGGAUUCAGAGACGUGUGUGUCCAACAUCCCAAGCUGCACUGCUACUUUAAUGCCACCAGCUCGAGUGCACAUUAGAUUAUUAGACUCCAGAGUACAACAUCCUAGACUGGAUACUUUUUUUCCCUCUGGCUGAUAAUGUAUUAAAAAAAUAAAGCAUGGUGUAACAGAUGUCUCUUGGGGUAA
Long non-coding RNA from Betta splendens (Siamese fighting fish), 2303 nucleotides. NCBI's taxonomy places the organism in Eukaryota, Metazoa, Chordata, Actinopteri, Anabantiformes, Osphronemidae. The record is from Ensembl.